RNAcentral lists this unclassified non-coding RNA (402 nucleotides) under plant metagenome. RNAcentral's name for it is "partial contains small subunit ribosomal RNA and internal transcribed spacer 1". The record is from RNAcentral.
AAUGUCGUAAUCAAGGUUUCCGUAGGUCAAGUUUAGCCUGGCCCAACACGCGGGUUCAAAGGCCUCGCUAGUCUCCGCUGGAGGCGACACGCCCCAACCCUGUGGGAAGGGCCCGUCCCCGGGUAAAUCCACAGCCCCACUUCCCCUCGCCCGGAAGUCGGUUUAGAGGCUCAAUGAGCGUGGGCUGCUGAUCUCAGCGCUUGAGAUAGAGUCCGUCCCAGCUGGUAACCCGCUGGGGGCGAACGGAACCUGCGGAAGGAUCUUACAGAAUUGACGGCUUUGCGAAGCCCAGAUUCUCACCCCCGGUGUAUACACUAUCUCUGUUGCUUUGGCGGGUCGCCUGGCGCCUGCCAGAGGGAAACCCUUGAAUCUCUGCAGUCUGAGCACGAUAAAUAGUCAAAU